This 74-nucleotide transfer RNA is filed under the name bacterium. RNAcentral's name for it is "tRNA-Arg". It matches the Rfam family "tRNA". Rfam says of the family: Transfer RNA (tRNA) molecules are approximately 80 nucleotides in length. Their secondary structure includes four short double-helical elements and three loops (D, anti-codon, and T loops). The record is from RNAcentral.
GCGCUCUUAGCUCAAUUGGAUAGAGCAUCUGACUACGAAUCAGAAGGUUGGGGGUUCAAAUCCCUCAGGGCGCG